GUCUACAUUAGAUACCCCUGUAGUCCCAGCCGUAAACUAUGCUCGCUAGGUGUCAGGCAUGGCGCGACCGUGUCUGGUGCCGCAGGGAAGCCGUGAAGCGAGCCACCUGGGAAGUACGGCCGCAAGGCUGAACUUAAAGGAAUUGGCGGGGAGCACCACAACCGGGUGGAGCCUGCGGUUUAAUUGGACUCAACGCCGGAAGCUCACCGGAUAAGACAGCGGAAUGAUUGCCGGGCUGAAGACUCUGCAUGACUAGCUG
This 259-nucleotide ribosomal RNA is filed under the name uncultured archaeon. Its description in RNAcentral is "partial 16S ribosomal RNA". It matches the Rfam family "Archaeal small subunit ribosomal RNA", at positions 718 to 982 of the family's 1478-position model. The record is from RNAcentral.